UAAGGAAUAUUGGUCAAUGGACGCAAGUCUGAACCAGCCAUGCCGCGUGGAGGAUUAAGGCCCUCUGGGUUGUAAACUCCUUUUAUCUGGGAAGAAAUGUACUUUUUCUUGAGUACUUGACGGUACCAGAGGAAUAAGCACCGGCUAACUCCGUGCCAGCAGCCGCGGUAAUACGGAGGGUGCAAGCGUUAUCCGGAUUCACUGGGUUUAAAGGGUGCGUAGGUGGGCAGGUAAGUCAGUGGUGAAAUCUCCGGGCUUAACCCGGAAACUGCCGUUGAUACUAUUUGUCUUGAAUAUUGUGGAGGUCAGCGGAAUAUGUCAUGUAGCGGUGAAAUGCUUAGAUAUGACAUAGAACACCAAUUGCGAAGGCAGCUUACUACACAAUCAUUGACGCUGAGGCACGAAGGCGUGGGGAUCAAACA
This 422-nucleotide ribosomal RNA is filed under the name uncultured bacterium. Its description in RNAcentral is "bacterial SSU rRNA". It matches the Rfam family "Bacterial small subunit ribosomal RNA", at positions 355 to 774 of the family's 1533-position model. The record is from RNAcentral.